Molecule: ribosomal RNA, 492 nt
Filed under: uncultured bacterium
Lineage: Bacteria
Description: partial 16S ribosomal RNA
Rfam family: Bacterial small subunit ribosomal RNA
Source: RNAcentral
AGUGAACGCUGGCGGUAGGCCUAACACAUGCAAGUCGAACGGCAGCACAGUAAGAGCUUGCUCUUACGGGUGGCGAGUGGCGGACGGGUGAGGAAUACAUCGGAAUCUACUUUUUCGUGGGGGAUAACGUAGGGAAACUUACGCUAAUACCGCAUACGACCUACGGGUGAAAGCAGUGGAUCUUCGGACCUUGCGCGAUUGAAUGAGCCGAUGUCGGAUUAGCUAGUUGGCGGGGUAAAGGCCCACCAAGGCGACGAUCCGUAGCUGGUCUGAGAGGAUGAUCGGCCACACUGGAACUGAGACACGGUCCAGACUCCUACGGGAGGCAGCAGUGGGGAAUAUUGGACAAUGGGCGCAAGCCUGAUCCAGCCAUACCGCGUGAGUGAAGAAGGCCUUCGGGUUGUAAAGCCCUUUUGUUGGGAAAGAAAAGCAGCAGGUUAAUACCCCGCUGUUCUGACGGUACCCAAAGAAUAAGCACCGGCUAACUUCGUG